GAUGAACGCUGGCGGCGUGCCUAAUACAUGCAAGUCGAGCGAACAGACGAGGAGCUUGCUCCUCUGACGUUAGCGGCGGACGGGUGAGUAACACGUGGAUAACCUACCUAUAAGACUGGGAUAACUUCGGGAAACCGGAGCUAAUACCGGAUAAUAUAUUGAACCGCAUGGUUCAAUAGUGAAAGACGGUUUUGCUGUCACUUAUAGAUGGAUCCGCGCCGCAUUAGCUAGUUGGUAAGGUAACGGCUUACCAAGGCAACGAUGCGUAGACGACCUGAGAGGGUGAUCGGCCACACUGGAACUGAGACACGGUCCAGACUCCUACGGGAGGCAGCAGUAGGGAAUCUUCCGCAAUGGGCGAAAGCCUGACGGAGCAACGCCGCGUGAGUGAUGAAGGUCUUCGGAUCGUAAAACUCUGUUAUUAGGGAAGAACAAGUGUGUAAGUAACUAUGCACGUCUUGACGGUACCUAAUCAGAAAGCCACGGCUAACUACGUG
RNAcentral lists this ribosomal RNA (497 nucleotides) under uncultured bacterium. RNAcentral's name for it is "partial 16S ribosomal RNA". It matches the Rfam family "Bacterial small subunit ribosomal RNA", at positions 28 to 507 of the family's 1533-position model. The record is from RNAcentral.